Molecule: ribosomal RNA, 468 nt
Filed under: uncultured bacterium
Lineage: Bacteria
Description: partial 16S ribosomal RNA
Rfam family: Bacterial small subunit ribosomal RNA
Source: RNAcentral
GACGAACGCUGGCGGCGUGCUUAACACAUGCAAGUCGAACGGAAAGGCCCUGCUUUUGUGGGGUGCUCGAGUGGCGAACGGGUGAGUAACACGUGAGUAACCUGCCCCUGACUUUGGGAUAACUUCAGGAAACUGGGGCUAAUACCGGAUAGGAGCUCCUUCUGCAUGGUGGGGGUUGGAAAGUUUCGGCGGUUGGGGAUGGACUCGCGGCUUAUCAGCUUGUUGGUGGGGUAGUGGCUUACCAAGGCGUUGACGGGUAGCCGGCCUGAGAGGGUGACCGGCCACAUUGGGACUGAGAUACGGCCCAGACUCCUACGGGAGGCAGCAGUGGGGAAUAUUGCACAAUGGGCGGAAGCCUGAUGCAGCAACGCCGCGUGCGGGAUGACGGCCUUCGGGUUGUAAACCGCUUUCGCCAGUGACGAAGCGUGAGUGACGGUAAUGGGUAAAGAAGCACCGGCUAACUACGUG